GACGUAGGGUCCAAGCGUUGUCCGGAUUUACUGGGCGUAAAGAGCGCGUAGGCGGUCUGUUAAGUGUAGAGUGAAAUCUCUGGGCUCACCCCAGAAACUGCUCUGCAUACUGGCAGACUUGAGGGAUGCAGAGGUUUGUGGAAUUCCUGGUGUAGCGGUGAAAUGCGUUGAUAUCAGGAGGAACACCCAUGGCGAAGGCAGCAAACUGGGCAUCAUCUGACGCUGAGGCGCGAAAGCGUGGGUAGCAAACAGG
RNAcentral lists this ribosomal RNA (253 nucleotides) under uncultured bacterium. RNAcentral describes it as "partial 16S ribosomal RNA". It matches the Rfam family "Bacterial small subunit ribosomal RNA", at positions 524 to 776 of the family's 1533-position model. The record is from RNAcentral. RNAcentral also lists the same sequence under 1 other name.